This is a long non-coding RNA of Cotesia glomerata, 1824 nucleotides long. RefSeq lists it as uncharacterized. NCBI's taxonomy places the organism in Eukaryota, Metazoa, Arthropoda, Insecta, Hymenoptera, Braconidae. The record is from RefSeq and is a predicted model, not a curated record. The transcript is spliced from 3 exons.
UUAAUACAAAGCUGUAGGAUGCAAUGCAUGAAUAACUGAGUCUUAUCUAUACGUAGUACUAGCCGGGAGUUUCGACGUUCCAUUGCACCGGUCCAAGUGGCGGGGGAGUGAAAGGAAAACAUUUCUUCUCUCAGUACUUUACUUGCGAUGUUAUUUAGAAACUGCUUAUGCAUAUAAUACAUGCAAGUAUAACGCUGUCAUAUGCACCAUAUCAGAGAUUGGAUUCUGCUUGUGCACAAGUGUAACUUGGUAACAUUGCUACUAGUAGGAAACAUAAUUUAUAAUACAUGAUGGCAUUAUCACGAGCUGGUUUGCCUCGAGGUCUUGUUCGAGGAGACAUUUAUGAGAGAGAUAGACAAAUGGCAGAAGCAUCCAAGGAAAAGUUUCAAUACGUGAUCAGAAGUUUAAGAAGUUGACGCGCGGUCAAACCUGAAAGCUGCCAAAAAUACAAAAGACCUGUGAAUUGGCUUCGAGAAGAACCAAGUUGGGGUUUAUUGUGGCUUUUUUACUCUUAUUGGUGGUUUUGGUAGAAAACAACAGGAAUGAUUUUAUGUAAAUUUACUCACUUAUAUUUUUAGAUUUGAAACUAAGGUAUGUUUAAUUAAUGAGAUGAAAGAAAUUCCGAUGCAAUGAAAUCGAAAAAUAUAUCGGGGAAAAUGGUUAGCUGAUUACUUUCUAACAUUUUCGAUUAUUUGGGUCUAAUCUUCUGCCAUAUAAAUGCGUGCUUUACUAGAGAUCCUUAAAAUUAUCUUAAUGUGGUGAUACGCGUAAAUAAUCUCCGCGACAAAAUAAAUAAAUUUCAAUUUUAAUAUCCUAAAAAUAAAAGUAUUUUUUUUUCUAUGUUUUGUCCGGAGAUGUUUACGCGUGUCACCAUUAAGCAUAACGCUGGUAUUUGCAAUACAACAAUACAUUUAAAUCUCUAGCUAUUAUACAGAAUAAACUUAUCAAUAAAAUAGUGAAUAAGGAAAAGCAAAAAGCUGCACUUGACAUUCAAAAAUUUUUAUUAUUUAUUCACUAUUGUUGUACUAUAAUGAAUGUAAGUUAAAAUAUGAGAUAAUUUCUGUAAAUAUUAGAUACAGAUCUAUUUCUUUACUUAAGUGCAAGUUUUAUGACUGCUGAAUAUUUAAAAAAGAGGAAAACAGAAUUUUUCGAUCGUAAAGCAUAUUCUAAUGCUUUGCAUUAAGAAUCGUGCAUUAUGCUACUGGGUAGUUUUUGAAGUGUUUAGUUGAGAAUAAAAAGUCAAUUAAGAAUAAAUUAGCAAAACUGGUAAUAAAAUCUUGGAGUUAAAUCUCGACAAGACAGAUAUAACAUAGUAUUGUAUGAUAUAUCUGUAUCUUUAUCUAGUUUGAUAAAUAAUCUUUAAAAUAAAAAAAGGCCAGUCGACAGCCGAAUUGGAAGUAAAUUUCUUAAAAUUACUAAAAACUUGAAGAAUCGUAAAAUUUCAUCACUAGUCACAGAUAUGUGGGAAAUUUUCGGUCUAAGAGAAUAAAGUGACAUAAAAAUUGAAACUUAUUUAUGAGCUUUUAAAUGAAAUUUUGCAUUUUCAAAAGUUAUUUCAAAAAGAACUUAUAGAACGGUAAUUUUUUUCUAUUUUUGCAAAUUUUUAAUUGUUGUCAUUUCUGAACUAAUUGACCGAUUCGGCACGUCGAACUUGACCCUGUGAAUCGUCGAAAGAAUAACUAACUCGAAUAAACUUUUGAACUAUAUGUAUUUUCUGAAUCAGUUUGAAGAGUUCCGUCAUAAGGACAAAUGUAAUGAUUAGAUUUCUAUGAAAUCUACUUAUAAAUUUAUCCUCGCAUUACUUUUCGUAAAGUACUCAACGAA